GGCUCAGGACGAACGCUGGCGGCGUGCCUAAUGCAUGCAAGUCGCACGCACGGAGCUUGCUCCGUGAGUGGCGCACGGCUGAGGAUCACGUGGGAACCUGCCACCUUGUGGGGGACAACAGCGCGAAAGCGCUGCUAAUCCCGCAUACGCUGGGCAACCAGGAAAGCGGCAACGCGCAGGGUGAGGGGCCCGCGGCCCAUCAGGUCGUAGGUGGGGUAACGGCCUACCUAGCCGAUGACGGGUAGCUGGUCUGUGAGGACAGACAGCCAGACUGGGACUGAGACACGGCCCAGACUCCUACGGGAGGCAGCAGCAAGGAAUUUUCGUCAAUGGGCGCAAGCCUGAACGAGCAACGCCGCGUGGAGGAUGACGGCCUUCGGGUUGUAAACUCCUUUUUCGGGGGACGAUGAUGACGGUACCCCGGGAAUAAGGCUCGGCUAACUCUGUGCCAGCAGCCGCGGUAAUACAGAGGAGCCAAGCGUUGUCCGGAUUGACUGGGCGUAAAGCGCACGCAGGCGGACGCGCGCGUGGGGUGUGAAAUCUGGCCGCUUAACGGCCAGGCGCCAUCCCAUACGGCGGGUCUGGAGCUAUGCAGAGGUCGGUGGAAUUGCCGGUGUAGUGGUGAAAUGCGUAGAGAUCGGCAGGAACACCCAGGGGGAAACCAGCCGACUGGGCAUAGGCUGACGCUGAGGUGCGAGAGCGUGGGGAGCGAACCGGAUUAGAUACCCGGGUAGUCCACGCCGUAAACGAUGGCCACUCGGCCUUUGGGUGGGGAACCUCCCCGCCUGGGGGCCUUAGCAAACGCGGGAAGUGGCCCGCCUGGGAACUACGAGC
Molecule: ribosomal RNA, 834 nt
Filed under: uncultured bacterium
Lineage: Bacteria
Description: bacterial SSU rRNA
Rfam family: Bacterial small subunit ribosomal RNA
Source: RNAcentral